This 78-nucleotide transfer RNA is filed under the name Nocardioides marinus. RNAcentral's name for it is "tRNA-Gly(gcc)". It matches the Rfam family "tRNA". From Rfam's summary of the family: Transfer RNA (tRNA) molecules are approximately 80 nucleotides in length. Their secondary structure includes four short double-helical elements and three loops (D, anti-codon, and T loops). The record is from RNAcentral. Lineage: Bacteria; Bacillati; Actinomycetota; Actinomycetes; Propionibacteriales; Nocardioidaceae.
GCCAUCGUCUAGCGGGCGGGCAUCCGAGGACCCCGCCCUGCCACGGCGGUAGCACGGGUUCGAAUCCCGUUGGGGGUG